GCUCUCGUAGCCAAGUUGGUCUAAGGCAUUGGAUUGCAAAUCCAGUAUCACCAGUUCGAGUCUGGUCGAGAGCU
Molecule: transfer RNA, 74 nt
Filed under: Candidatus Brocadiales bacterium
Lineage: Bacteria; Pseudomonadati; Planctomycetota; Candidatus Brocadiia; Candidatus Brocadiales
Description: tRNA-Cys
Rfam family: tRNA
About the family: Transfer RNA (tRNA) molecules are approximately 80 nucleotides in length.
Source: RNAcentral